AUGUAAGACUGCUGAAAAAAGGUUGGAGAACAGUGGCCCUUGGAGAAAGAACAGAAGCACUUGAGGUUUGCCUCCAGGACAUCACACCUCCUAUUAAGCGCCUUUACAAAGCAGGAGAAAGAGUGAAAUGGAGGAAAAAAUACAUAGAUGGGUCAAGUAAGCAGCAGGAGCAAAGAGCAGAAGAGGAAAUAGGAAAGAAGAAGGGAGAGGAAAAGAGAGAGAGAGGAGAGAAGACAGAUGAGGAGGGAAAAGCAGUGGAAGAAGGAAGCAACAAAUGUAAAGGAGGA
Brienomyrus brachyistius is the source of this 287-nucleotide long non-coding RNA. RefSeq lists it as uncharacterized. The record is from RefSeq and is a predicted model, not a curated record. The transcript is spliced from 3 exons. NCBI's taxonomy places the organism in Eukaryota, Metazoa, Chordata, Actinopteri, Osteoglossiformes, Mormyridae.